Non-coding RNA from Theobroma cacao (cacao), 158 nucleotides. Lineage: Eukaryota; Viridiplantae; Streptophyta; Magnoliopsida; Malvales; Malvaceae. The record is from RefSeq and is a predicted model, not a curated record.
GGAAAAGUGUGAAAAUUCAAGUAAUCAAGCAAUCAAAGGUGGUGAGCAUUCUGGCAAAAGUAAAGAGAUAAUACCUGAGAAUCAAGAAUCAGAGUACUUGGAAUUCGACUCCCGAAAUAGCUCAGGAUAGUUGGUAGAUAGCUCACUUUGUUGAGGGC